GACGAACGCUGGCGGCGUGCUUAACACAUGCAAGUCGAGCGGUAAGGCCCUUUCGGGGGUACACGAGCGGCGAACGGGUGAGUAACACGUGGGUGACCUGCCCUUAGCUCUGGGAUAAGCCUGGGAAACUGGGUCUAAUACCGGAUAUGACUCCAUGACGCAUGUUGUGGGGUGGAAAGCCUUGUGCGGCUAGGGAUGGGCCCACGGGCCUAUCAGCUUGUUGGUGGGGUGAUGGCCUACCAAGGCGACGACGGGUAGCCGGCCUGAGAGGGCGACCGGCCACACUGGGACUGAGACACGGCCCAGACUCCUACGGGAGGCAGCAGUGGGGAAUC
This 335-nucleotide ribosomal RNA is filed under the name uncultured bacterium. Its description in RNAcentral is "bacterial SSU rRNA". It matches the Rfam family "Bacterial small subunit ribosomal RNA", at positions 28 to 363 of the family's 1533-position model. The record is from RNAcentral.